GACGAACGCUGGCGGCGUGCAUAACACAUGCAAGUCGAACGGAAAGGCCCUGCUUUUGUGGGGUGCUCGAGUGGCGAACGGGUGAGUAACACGUGAGUAACCUGCCCUUGACUUUGGGAUAACUUCAGGAAACUGGGGCUAAUACCGGAUAGGAGCUCCUGCUGCAUGGUGGGGGUUGGAAAGUUUCGGCGGUUGGGGAUGGACUCGCGGCUUAUCAGCUUGUUGGUGGGGUAGUGGCUUACCAAGGCUUUGACGGGUAGCCGGCCUGAGAGGGUGACCGGCCACAUUGGGACUGAGAUACGGCCCAGACUCCUACGGGAGGCAGCAGUGGGGAAUAUUGCACAAUGGGCGGAAGCCUGAUGCAGCAACGCCGCGUGCGGGAUGACGGCCUUCGGGUUGUAAACCGCUUUCGCCUGUGACGAAGCGUGAGUGACGGUAAUGGGGCAAGAAGCACCGGCGAACUACGU
This 467-nucleotide ribosomal RNA is filed under the name uncultured bacterium. Its description in RNAcentral is "partial 16S ribosomal RNA". It matches the Rfam family "Bacterial small subunit ribosomal RNA", at positions 28 to 506 of the family's 1533-position model. The record is from RNAcentral.